AGGUGAAUUACAGGGUAGUUUCCCUUUUGGCAGGAAACAACACCAUAAUGACACAAAUAAUACCAAGAGGUGUAUUCAUGCCAAAGGGGAUUUGCCCAGCAAUUUUGCU
Molecule: microRNA precursor, 109 nt
Organism: Lupinus angustifolius (narrow-leaved blue lupine)
Lineage: Eukaryota; Viridiplantae; Streptophyta; Magnoliopsida; Fabales; Fabaceae
Rfam family: mir-399 microRNA precursor family
About the family: mir-399 was identified in both Arabidopsis thaliana and Oryza sativa computationally and was later experimentally verified. mir-399 is thought to target mRNAs coding for a phosphatase transporter. The mature sequence is excised from the 3' arm of the hairpin.
Source: Rfam